This 72-nucleotide antisense RNA is filed under the name Saccharothrix espanaensis DSM 44229. Its description in RNAcentral is "ASpks TB sRNA". It matches the Rfam family "ASpks TB sRNA". The record is from Rfam by way of RNAcentral. Lineage: Bacteria; Bacillati; Actinomycetota; Actinomycetes; Pseudonocardiales; Pseudonocardiaceae.
CUUCAUCGACCCCAGGUACAGCGGCUCGCCCGCGCGGUCCGCGCCGUAGGUCGCGAUCAGCGCCUGCGCCUC